RNAcentral lists this long non-coding RNA (33588 nucleotides) under Marmota monax (woodchuck). The stretch from base 16672 to 16740 matches the Rfam family "tRNA". The record is from RNAcentral. Lineage: Eukaryota; Metazoa; Chordata; Mammalia; Rodentia; Sciuridae.
GGCGUGAGGGCGCGGGAGGGGGCACUGGGGCGACAUCCCCGCGGUGGCGUCGCGAGCGGAGACCCGGCCCCUCGGUGUGGGAGAUGGCCCUACGAGUUUGUCUUGAGCGCCGGGCGGACACGGCCGCGGGGUGCGAAAGGGCCGUUUAUCCGGAAGAGGGGAGCCGGGCCUGGGCAGCGGCAGCACGUCAGAGCCCAGGGGCCUCUGAAUACUCGUGAGGGAGCGCCCUGCUCCCUCUACCCAGCUUGUCGAGGUGGACCGUGCACUCCCCCUGGGGCAAAUGUGUGGGCACGUCGCCCGUGACGACGAUGUCACCACUGUUUUUUCAGGUAGUGCCACAGCCCUCUUUACGUGGUGCACUGCCUCUACCUGGUCCUCCUGCAGGGGAGGCUGAGUGUAGCCCCUGUGCUAACGCGGCCCUUCUUAGUGGGCAGGUUUAGACGCUAGUUUUUGGCUUGGGCAGCUGCAUUUGUAGGCUGGAUUUCCUUUGUGAGGUGAAAAUGAUUAGGUCUUGCAGGGACGUUGUGAAUAUUCUGGGUUGAGUAGUGAGGGGUCCCAACUGCCGUGUCCUGUGCCUGCGGGUAUUUCUCCUAAUAUAAUCUUGUAUCUGUUAGUUUAGGAUUUACAUACGCUCGCUCUCUUUUUUUUUUUUUCUUGGUUCUCUUCCUUUUCACCCACUUCCCUACCAACUCCUGCUCAUCUCAGACGUCACUUCCUCUGAGAAGCCUCCCCUCUUAUCAGGACCCAUGUGGGCCUCUUUUCCACCUGCUCACGGGGUCAUUUCCCUGGUCCCAUCACACCUACUGUCACUGGUACUUCAAUCCAUCAGCAUCCUAAUGGUGGGGUCCACAUGAUCCUUAAGGUCCUAAGGAUGUGGCAGUCACUGGCCUUCCCUCCCCCUUCCCUUCAGGGAGCUGUGGCUGGGACCUCCCCUCUGGCUGAUCAAGGAGGAGGAAGCAGCGAUGUCUGCCUUAGGGACUGCAGCUCCAUACCUGCAUCAUCCUGCUGACAGUCACAGUGGCCGGGUCAGUUUUCUGGGGCCCCAAGUCCCUCCAGAGGUGGCAGCAAUGGCCCGGUUUCUGGGAGACCUGGACAGGAGCACAUUCAGAAAGUUGCUGAAGCUUGUGGUUAGCAGCUUGCAGGGAGAGGACUGCCGAGAGGCCAUGCAGCACCUGGGUGCCAGUUCCAGCCUGCCAGAGGAGCAGUUAGGUGCCCUACUUGCUGGCACACACACACUACUCCAACAGGCUCUCCGGCUUCCCUCUCCCAGCCUGAAGCCUGAUGCCUUCAAGGACCAACUCCAGGAGCUCGGCAUCCCCCAAGACCUGGUUGGGGACUUGACCAGUGUGGUUUUUGGUGGUCAGCGCCCCCUCCUGGACUCUGUGGCCCAGCAGCAGGGUUCCUGGCUUCCCCACAUUGCUGACUUUAAGUGGAGGGUGGAUGUGGCAAUUUCCACCAGUGCCCUGGCCCGCUCCCUGAAGCCAAGCAUCUUGAUGCAGCUGAAGCUUUCAGAUGGGUCAGCAUAUCGCUUCGAGGUUCCCACAGCCAAGUUCCAGGAACUGCGGUACAGUGUGGCGCUGGUCCUGAAGGAGAUGACAGAUCUGGAGAGGAGGUGCGAUCGCAGACUGCAGGACUGAGCCUCCCUUGUCAGCAUUGCAGCUGGUGCCAGAAUGCAACUUGCAUUUCCUCUAGUUGGAUGCUAGACUGCAUGUCACCCCUUCCCCAGGUUUUUUUUGUUGUUGUUGUUGUUGUUGCUUCUGAGUGUGGUAAAGUGACAGUCUGGGGUCCAAAUCAGGGUCCUCUGAAUAUGCCUUUGCUCAGCCUGACCCCACUAAGCAUCUGGGCCCUUUUUCUUGUUUGCUUUCAUAAAUGCUGUUUUUGGUGUGGGCACUUUUGUCUGUCUUAAAUCCCUGCCCUUGUGGGGCUGAUAUCGUUGUGGGUUGGGAAGCGGGGGAAACAUUACAAAAUGCAUAGUAAACAGUGGGUACAGCUUAUCAAGGGGUGACAAAUGUGUACUUAGUUUUGAGCAAGGUGGGGUAUAGGCUGUGAGGACAUGCCUGCCCCUAUACGCUGUAUCAUGGCUGGACUUCCUGGAGAACAUGGUAUCUGAGCAGACUUGAAAGACAGGAGUUGGGGGAAUGAAGUCCACUGGGGGACCAGCUGGUGCACAGGUGAUGAGUAGAGAGAGACCAGGUAUAUUGGAUGUCACGUGCCUCCAACCAAGUAGGAGGAGGUCAUUGGAGGGAGGUAAAGCUGGGGAGGGUACACAGGUCAGGUCUGAGAAAUUCUGCUCAAAGUAUUGUGGUUGAAGUCUAAGCCAAAGUGGGAGUCCCUGAGGGUUUUCAACAGAGGAAGGAUGUACUCUGGUGGUUGUUUUAGAAGGAUAACACUUCUAUUAUUUUAAAGGAUAACAUUAUCCAGGGGUGGUGGUAAAUAUGUGUAAUCCCAGGCACUUGGGAGGCUGAGGCAGGAAGAUUGCAAGUUCAAGACCAGCCUCAGCAACUUAUUGAGACCUUUUCUCAAAAUUAAAAAUAAAAAGGAUGGGGAUGUAGCUCAGUGAUAGAGUGCCCCUGGGUUCAUUAUCCAGUUCCAUGAAAAUAAAUAAGUAAAAGGAUAAUACUGUUUCUGUGUUUAGAGUAGUAUGUAGGGGAACAGGGAGGAGGUUGAGAGUCCACUAUGAGGGGUGCUGUUGUAAGGUGGAGCUGCUGGAUAGGGUAGGGGGCCUUUCUGAGUGCCUCCAGGGUAGCUAUGUUGGGGGGGGGGUGUAUGGCCAGCUUUGUAGUCCUCAGAAUAGCCAUUCUCUGGCUAGGGGUCUUAGGGCUGUCAGACUAUCUGCUUGAGGGGUCCCUGCUUCCUGCACUUUUUUAGUCUACAUCUGGUUGGUUCUCUGCUGAGAAACCAGUUCAUACAUCUCAUAGGAUAAUCAGGCCUAAGUGCAGGAACUUCUGAGAACAGCAAAUAAAGUUUGCUGUUCCGGGCCAGCCUGUUACUCACAUAGGCUGUUUGAAAAAUGCUUGGUUUCUUCCAUCUCAGUGAACACCUUUUUUUCUCUUGAGUGAGAACUACAGCUGUGGCAACUUAGGUGUGGGCCACAGGGAAAGGAAAAGGCUGCCUUUUGAGGACAGAGGGCUGCCAGGGAGGCUGCUGUGUUUCUAGAGCUGGAGGAUUCACAGGCCUGGCUCAGCUAAGGGUGCAGAAUGCCCCUGUGUCCUUCAGCCUCAGCUGGGUCCCCCAGGACCACUGGCCCACCUUGAAGGGAACAAGGAGAUCCAGACCCGCAAAAAAGGAUGUACACAAGUAAGCAGAGUGCCCAUGUCAACCUUAUCCAGUGACAGAGCUUUUUAUGUCACAUACUUAUGAUCUCAACUAUUAGAUGUGUUGGAGACUAUGUACUCAUGAUACAUUUGGAAAUAAAACAGGAAUGUAGGGACAAAAAUUUUUUACUUAAGUCCCUCCAUACAGUGGCACUGAGGCCAGAGGAUCCCAAGUUUGAAGCCAGCCUGGCAACCUAGUGAGACCCUGCAUCAAAAUAAAAAUUUAAAAAUGGCUGGGAAUGUAGUUCAGUGGUGGAGUGUGCCUGGGUUCAAUACCCAGUACUGGAAAGAAAAAAAAAGUCCCUUUGCCCACAUGUAAAGCAUCUUGACACUGCUAUGAGUCUAUCUAACUGUCCACAUGGCUCUGUGGUAAAGUUCAAUCCCCAGUACUAAAAAACAAAAACAAAAAGAACAGAGAAAGAAAGGUGCCAGGCAAAGCAGUCAGAGUGAAUUCUAGGCACACCACUUCUGGACUUCUAACAUGAGCCCAAACACGUCGGCUUCACUUGCUUUAUCUUUUCAAGCUUUUUCACGAAAACAAACUUACAGCCCUUACCUCCACUGGCCAGGGCUCUAGGCACACACUGAAAGGGCAGAGGCAGAGGACUUGGAGAAGCAGGUAAUACCAUGUUCCACCUCACAGAGGGGCUUUGAUGUACCCUGAAUAGAACUGAGUCAAGACCCUUCACUUAGUAGUCUUCGUGUCUGCUUCUUAAGGAGGGAGAAAAACUGUUAAGGAAAACUGUAUUCAGGAUGUAAUGCUUUGUAAGGUCAACUACCCAGGACCACCUCAGAAGGCAGAGGGGAGAUGGCAGCCCAGGCACAUGGGGACAUAUAGGCCAUGAAGCUGGUGGGGGAGUGGAUGGAUAAGAAAACUUGAGUUUAAGGGGACUUCUGGUGAAACUGACCUAUCAGGGUUCUUGUUAAAAUGGGACAGUGCAUAAAAGAACAUGGAAGCUGGAAAGUUGUUAUGGUGAGCAAGCUAUGCCAUUAACACAGACUGCUCAUAUUUGUAAAUUCCACAAUAUCAGAAUUUGUUGAAUAAAUUCACAGGCUACAUCAGUUUUUUCAUCACCGUUAAUUUACUGAUACUUAUGGUGUGACUGUGGUAAUCACAAAUUAUUCUGUUCCAAUUUUAAUUACUAAUAUCGUUAACACCAAAGUGGAUUUAUAAGUUACAGAACCGUUAGGGAAGGGAUAACCAUGGCCUCAGAGUUUGUUUAUUGCAGUGCUGGGGAUGGAACCAAGAGCCUUGUGCUUGCCGGGUAAGAGCUCUCUACCCAUGAGCUAUAUCUCCAAUCAACCCUUUUUUAUUUUAAGACAUGUCUAAGUUGGCUAAGCUAUUCUUAACUUGCAAUCCUCCUGCAUCAGCCUCCCGAAUCGUGCGCUUUUUUAAAAAAACAUUUUUAGUUAUUAACACAAUGCCUUUAUUUUAUCUAUUUAUUUUUAUAUGGUGCCAAGAGUCGAACCCAGGGUCUCGCACGUGCUAGGCGAGCGCUCUACCGCUGAACCACAACCCCAGCUCCAGCCCUGCCGUCUUUUUGUAAGGUUUAUUUUUUGCAGCACUGGGAAUGGGUCCCCAAAAUCCAGGCCAGCGCUGCACACUGAGCCGCAGCACACCCCCAGGUUGUGCAUAGCCAAUUUGGGGCGUCAAGGUCAUCCCUUAGCUUCACCUUAUUUUUACUUCCCAGUAACCCCGCCGUACUGCCUCCUCCAUUUUACCAAGUGCUACUUUGAACUAACCUAUUGACACUGUCGGGAGACUGCGGAGAUGAAGCACCUGUAGUGCGGAGCCGGGCGGGCUGAAGCCGCAGGUGGGGCAGGACUGCCGUUCCCCUCCAGCAGUCCGCGGACCACCGUUGGCUUGGGUCCUUGGAGUCCUAGACCAGCCCCGGAAAUGAGCGGGGCUGGGCUUCAUCCCGCUUCCGGCUCUCGGUCUCCAGGGAAGGGCUGCCUGCGCAUGCGCAGCUAGAUCGUCUCGCCCCGUCUCCGGCUGGUCGGCGCACUACGCUGCUGCUAGCUGCCGAGCUCGGUCUUCGGACCCGACGCUUCCUGUGAGCCGGCACCGAGGUGAGGCUCUUCGUGGCUCCUCCCGCAGUGCAGGUAGCCGGCGGCGGCCGGGCCGGCGGCUGUGAGGGUGUCACACGGGAAGCCACGCACUAAGCGAACGAGUUCGAUGAUUGCUGGACGCGCCGGCAGGCAGGUUCCGGCCGAGGGCUCUAGUGAUGCUGGGGACACUGGGGGAGGGGGCACAGGCGGCUCUCAGAGCCUGUCGGGCGCGCGCCCGCGACCGACCACCCGAGAGGCGGGCGGAGGCUGCGGGGAGUACGAGGCCUUGCGGGCGGGGCGUCAGUCCACGCUGGGGCUGGGCCCUCGAAGCUCGCUCGCCCGCACCGCGCCGCCCGGGGUAGCGGGAGGCCUCAGGGCGCGGCACGCCAGCCUCAGGCCCGAGAUUGGACGGCCGGAGCUGCAGCGCCCGCCGCCGGCCCUCCUGCGCACUGGCGGGAGCGGGCCUAGGGUGUGGAGAGGGUACACAGGCCCCAGGAGGCCUCUGCGAGAAUGCAGGCUGCCUCCUUCCUCUGGUCGCGUCUCCGCUGUUCUUGCCGAACACGCCCAAGUCUCCUGAGGGAGAGCUGGGUGGCCGCAGACCGUGGCGCCCCCUGCUUUCUCUCGGAUUCCAUGGCGGCCGCUUCGGGGGAUGGCAGCCGAGUCCGGCCAGGAGACUUGACGUUCCUCCCCGCCAUCCGCAGUCGGAAGCCGUCUCCGGACCUGUGAGCCUUGAGGUGGGGGAAGCCGAAGAGUUGAUAAUGUGGACCCACGUCCUCCCGCAGGGGUCGCGGCUCUGAGCUUAGCGGGUCCUGGCUCCACAGCCCCCCGGACCGCGAAUCCGCUUCCAGGAGCGCGCCAGGCACCACGCCGUGCGGUCCCCGGGCGCGAUGCCGCUGACUUUCCAGGACGUGGCAGUGUACUUCUCCCCAGCGGAGGGGCAACAGCUGGGGCCCCAGCAGCGGGCGCUGUACCGGGAUGUGAUGCUGGAGAACUAUGGGAACGUGGCCUCCCUAGGUGAGAACUCCCUCUGGCUUCUGGAGCGGGGGUGGGGCAGGGGGAGGGGGUGCCUCUCUAAGGGGCUCAUGGGCUGCUUUGGCUUUUUGGAUCCCAAGAAGAAGGUCCCGCCCUCAUCCCCGGGUAACAGUCUGAUCUCUGCUGAAAGAACACUGCCCGUGAGAGAGCCUUGCUGCCCGAUUCGAGGGACUUCGCUCCCUUUGCCAGUGGCCCAGUGGUGGUGUUCCUCCCUGCCGCCCCCAGGAGAACAGGGUGAAUUCUUCCUUAAAACAAAACAAAAAACACUUCAGCCCCUGGCUUUCUCUGACCAAGCAUGGCAGCAAGCAGGCACUUCUCACCUGGCUUGGGAGACCUGGUGGGCAGAGGCCGCACAGGCUCACCCAGGUUUUCACCCUCAACAGGAUUCCCUGUCCCUAAGCCAGAGCUGAUCUCCCAGCUGGAGCAAGGCGAGGAGCUGUGGGUCAUGGAUCUUCUGGGGGCUGAAGAAUCAGAGGUCUUGAGAAACUGCCGAACAGGUGAGAAUGGGCAGGAGGCUAACCCUAAGAACCCCCCUCCCAGUUCUACACUCACUGCAGCAGUGAGGGCGGUUGGGUUGUUGUGCUUAGUCCAACCGCUCCAAGAGCAGAUGUAGUCACCACAGACAUGUGGCAUGUGCUCCUUGUUUACAAGGGCUUCCCUUACUGCUCCAUUUGCUUUACUCUAGAAAAUGUAUGCAGUGCCCAGUGCCCGUUGUAUGCGUUUUGUGGCACCUUCAUUCUCUUCUUUACAUAAUACUCUUUCUUGCUGGCUUUCUUUUGACAGUAGCUAUGGGUUGCCUGUCAUGUCCUUUUCUUCUUCACCUUUUCUUUCCUCUAACUCAGUUUGGUCAGUAGUAUUCUCUCUCUUUCCUUCUUGAGACCUGUGUCCUCAUGUGCACAUGCUUUUGCUCUCUCGCUAUCAGUGUAUUGUGGGCUGGUCUUGAAUUUAUGGACUCAAGCUUCCUACUGCUUCGGCUCCUGAGUGAAGUCACAGUUCCUGGGUCAAUAGUAUUUUUUUAUUUUUUUGGUACAGGGGAUUGAACCCAGGGGCACGCAACCACCAAACCGCCUCUCCCCAUCCUAUUUUGUAUUUUAUUUACAGACAGGGUCUCACUGAGUUGCUUAGUGCCUCACUUUUGCUGAGGCUGGCUUUGAACUCACAAUCCUCCUGCCUCAGCCUCCUGAACCACUAGGAUUACAGGCAUGAGCCACCGUGCCCAGCAAUAAUAUUUUUUUAAAUGUGUACUUUUUUCUGUUGGAUCCAGCUUCUCUACUUUUUUCAUCAGCUACUGAGGCUUGUUAUGCUUUCUACCUUUUUCUCCUCCUUCCUCUCUAUUUUUUUUUUUGUUAUUUUAUUGCUCUACACUGUCAGAACAUGUAAUUCCUUUACCCUUUACUAUUACUCCUAGCCCCACCUUUGAUGUUGUUGUUUUUUGCUGUUAAGUAUAUAUUUUUUUUACCUUUUAGUUAAUUGUUGAACCUUUUACCAGAAAUUUCUGCAUCAUUUCUCUGUUGGCUGGAGCUUGUCUUCCAGUUACUCAGAAAGACUCUUGUAAAUAAUAUGCCCCAAAUUUAUGCACAUUGAAGCCUUUUGCUUCUGGCAGUGGGUGCUAAAAUUGUUGACUUGCGAUGCUUCUUUUUGUAGAAAGGUGGAGUUAUAAGACUGAAAGCAUGGCUGUAGUUCCAGUUUGGAAAAUUUUAAUGUUAUAUUUUUGUCAUCAUUUAGUCCAAGAUAUUAUGUUUUGUGAUUUCUUUGACCCAAUGAUUAGUUGGAUGUGUGUUACUUUUCAAAACAAUUGGUACUUUUCUAUUUCUUAUUGUUGUUGACUUGUCAUUUAAUUCUACCAGGGUCAGGGAACCUAUUCUUGUAUAAUUUCAUUCUUCUCGUUUUUGCUUGCUCUUGUUUUAUGACUCUAGGAUCUCUCUCAGUAAGUAUCUGCGUGCAUGUAAAAAGGGUGGGUUCAAUGGGCUGCAGCUGGGGCUCAGUGGAAGAGCACUUACCUAGCACAUUCGAGGUGCUGGGUUCUAUCCUCAGCACCACAUAUAAAAUUAAUUAAUUAAUUAAUUAAUUAAUUAAAGAUUUUUUUUAAAAAAAGGGAUAGGUUCAAGUAGCAAUUAAGUCAAGGUGCUUCAUGGUACCAUUUAGAUAUCCCCCAGCCCUUUGCUCAUUUUAUGUGUAGUUAUUUUAUUUAUGUAUUUAUUUAUUUAUUUUUUGGGGGGGCGGUACUGGGGAUUGAACUCAAGGAUACUCAACCAUUGAGCCACAUCCCCAGCCCUAUUUUGUAUUUUUUAGAGACAGGGUCUCACUGAGUUGCUUAGCACCUCGAUUUUGCUGAGGCUGGCCUUGAACUCUUUAAUAUUUUUUUAGUUGUAUAUGGACACAAUACCUUUAUUUUAUUUUUAUGUGGUGCUGGGAAUCAAACCCAGUGCCUCACUCAUGCUAGGCAACUGCUCUACCACUGAGCUACAAACCUGGCCCUGGCCUUGAACUCUUGAUUCUCCUGCCUUAGCCUCCUGAGCCCCUGGGAUUACAGGCGUACACCACCACACCCAACAGUGUAGUUAUUCUUUAGUUACUAAGAGAAGGUGUUAAAAUACCCACAUGUGAUUGUGGAAUUGUCUUGUCUUUAAUUUUCUCAGUGUCUGGUUCAUGUACUUUGAAGCUGUGUUAUUUGUAUUAUUUUUACUUCUAAUCAUCAUUUUUAGGGAUAAGAGGAUCCCUUAUCAUCUCUGGUAAUAUAUUUGGUUCUGACUAUAUUUCAUCUGAUAUGUCAUAGCAGUUCUAGCCUUAGCCUUAUUCUUUUUUUUUUUUUUUGGUACUGGGGGUUGGACUCAGGCACUCAACCAACCCCCAAGCCACAUCCCCAGUCCUUUUUAAAUUUUUUUUUAAACUUUGUUUUAUUUGUUUAUUUAUUUUUUUAUGUGGUACUGAGGAUUGAACCCAGGACCUUGCACGUGCCAGGCGAGCCCUGUACCACUGAGCCUUUUUAAAAAUUUUUUAUUGUCAUAGAGGGAUAACAUGCCUAUAUUUUUAUUUUUUUAGUACAGUGCCUCACCUGUGCUAGGUAGGCAGUCUACCACUAAGCUAUAGCCCCAGCCCCUUAUCUUUUAAUUGUAGUGCUUAAUCUAUUAAUAUUUAAUGUCUCGUUGUGUGUGUGUGUGUGUGUGUGUGUGUGAGAGAGAGAGAGAGAGAGAUAAUGGGGAUGGAACCCAGGGCCUUAUGUGUGACAAGCAAGCACUCUACCACUGAACCACAUCUCCAGCCCUUUUUUUUUUUUUUUUUAAUUUGAAACAGGGUCCUUUUUUAUUUCUCUUUUUUGCCUUUCAUGUACUAAUUCAUUAUAAAUCUCAACCAUCCCUUCCCUCCUUUAUGGUAAAGUUAUAUGUAAUAUAUCUGUGUACAUUUGAGACAAUAUUAUAAUUUUCUUUUUAAAUCGUCAUAGAUGAUUAACAGCAGAGUUAUGUCCUGAUGAACCCAUCAUAAGUUGGAAAUCACUUAGUGCAUCUAACCUACCAAACAUGCCAGCUUAGCAGCACAGCACACUGGAGAGUACAGUUGUUGCCCUGUGAUCUUGUGGCUGCCUGGGAGUUGUGACUUCUGCCACUGCCCAGCAUUGCAAGAGAGAUCAUAGUGCCCAAGAAAAGAUUAAAAAUUCAAAAUAAUAUAGUUUCUAUUGAAUAUAUAUCACUUUGUGCUGUCAUAAGAUUGAAAAAGUCUUAUGCAAAACCCUGGGAAGUUAGUGCUGUACUUUGAAUCUGCAUUAUCCCUCAAAGGUCAACGUGUAAAAGGCUAAACUGAGGAGCCAUUGGGAAGUUGGGCUUGGGGGAAGAAGCAAGGUCAGUGGGAGAAUGCCACUGGAGAGUCUCUGGGACCCACGCCAUCCUAUCUGUUUUGUGCCUGGCCGCCAUGGAGUAAACAGGCUGCCAUGCUAGGCUCCUGCCACAAUGCGUACUGCUGCCACAGGCCCAGAGCACAAGCCAAGUGACUAUGGGCUAAGACUUCUGAAACUGUGGCCAGAAUAAGUGUCUCCUCCAUUUACCUAUCUAAGGUAUUUCAUCACAGUAAUGAAAACCUAACAGUUGAGGAACCAUUUAUAUGUAGUUUAUGAAAAAAUAAAAGAAAAAAAAUAGACUUUUUGCUGUCUCGACAUGUAAGGAGCUUAGAAGUUGCUGCGGGAUUCUAACAAGUAAAGAACUGAACAAACUGGAAAAUCAGUGACUCUUGGAUCAAUCAGAGUUGAGGUCCCAGGGCAAACCACUGCACCCAAAUUGGAUAGGCAACACAGUCAUGAUUUGUGAACAGGAACCUCCAGGGGAAAUGGUGCAGGUAGGAAACCUGAAGAGAAAUGGACAAAUUGACAAAAGCUCAGUGUGGACAAGUCUGAGCUAUAAAAAUGACAGGAGACCUGUCAUGGAGGCUCAUAAACAUUUGAGGGUUUUUUGUUUUUUGUUUUACCGCCAGAAAUGUGAUGAAUCCCACAGUGAACAUUGGGGGAAAUCUCCUUAUGCUUCUGGCAGGGGAAAGGGAAAAGAAACUUCUGAAAUAUGUCAGAGCACUAUUCCUCACGAAGCUGUUCUCUAGAUAGAUGGCCUUGCCAGAGCCUGCCUGACCUGAGCAAGGAAGCUCCCAGCCCAGCACUCUGUUCUCCCUGACCUUGUGAGGGCCCUGGAGCACAGGCUUAUGGUGCUGCAUGCCUCAUUGCACAGCCAACAUGGCAGCACUGAGGCAUGGGUGCCGCAGCUCCCUUACCCAGCUUGUCACAUCUGCCUUUUAACAAAGACCUGUAAGACACUGAAAGAAAAAUGCAGUGUGGAGAGACUGAACAAACAUUAGAAUGAGAGUCAUAACUGGCAAGAGUGUUGGAAUUACCAGAUCAGGGAUUUUUUUUAAAACUAAUAUGACUAAGGCUUUAGUGGAAAAUGUAUGAUGUACAGAAACAGAUAUAUAAUAUAGGCAGAGAGAUUGAAAUUCUAAAAUAGAAUAAAAAAUGCUAGAAAUGAAAAACACUAUAAUAGUAGUAAUGACAGAUGCCUUUGAUGACUCACUAAUAGACUGGUCAGGGUUUUGAGUAUAAUGUUAUUUGAAGGCACACUUGGAUUAGUUGUAAGUGUAGAUAGAAAACCAAUUAAAAACAAAAGUACAAGACAAGUAUAAUGAAUAUGGCGACAAGGAGACAAAGUGGAGUAAUAGAAAAUACUCAAAACCACAAAAUAAGUAGCCCAGUGAUAGAGCAUUUGUAUAACAUGUGUAAGACCUUAGGUUUGAUCCCCAGCAGUGAAGAAACCAUUUUUAAACCAGAAAAUGCAGAAAAAAGUAUAGAAGAUAAACAGGGACAAAGAUCAACUGUAAUAUAUAAAACAGGGACAAAUGUUGUCAAUAUUAAUUUCAACAAUAUUAGUCUUUUUUUUUUUUUUUUUUUUUUUUGCGGGGGUAUCAGGGAUUUAACUCAAAGGCGCUGGGCCACAUCCCCAGCCCUAUUUUGUAUUUUAUUUAGAGACAAGAUGUCACCGAGUUGCCUAGUACCUUGCUUUUGCAGAGGCUGGGAACUCUCCAUCCUCCUGCCUCAGCCUCCCUAGCUUCUGGGAUUACAGGUGUGUGCAAUUGUGCCCAACUCAACAGUCAUUUUAAAUGUCAGUGGUCAGCCAGGUGUGGUGGCCCACACUUGUAGUUCCCACUGCUUGGACUAAGGCAAGGAAAUUGCUUGAGCCCAGGAGUUCAAGGCCAGGCUGGGCAACAUAGUGAGACCCUGUCUUGUUGUUUUUUGUUUUUUUGUUUUGUUUGUUUGUUUUGUUUUGUUUUUUGUUUUUUUAAGGACAAAAAUAACCUUCAUUGAUCAGUAGAUGAUAGAGACCAUCCGAGUGGGUCAGAAGCAAGACCUAACUAUGUCUUCUACAAGAAACCUCUUAUAAACAUAAAAAUGCAUAUAGCUUAAAAGUAAAGACAUGGAAAAAGAUGCUAAUAGGAAUCAAAAAAAGAGGGAAUGUUUACAUUAUUUUCAGUCACAACAGACUUCUGAGCAAGGAAAGGCACCAGGAAGAGAGGAAUAAUGCAUAAUGGUAAGGGCUUUAUACAUCAAAAAGACAACAAUUCCUGAUGCACCUAACAGCAGCAACAGAAAACUAAAGGCAAAAUCUGAUAGGCCUGCUAGGGGAAAGAAAUGAGUCUAGUACUAUAGUUGGAGACUCCAGCUAUUGUCUCUAUCUACAAUGGACAGAUCCAUCUGCAGACACAACUGAGCUCAUUACCAUUCAUCACUGGGAUAGACAUCCACAGACUCCUUCAUCUAACAACAGCAGGUUUGUUCUGUUUUUAUGGUGCUGGUGAUCAAACCCAAGGCUUUUUGCAUACUGACCAAGUGCUCUACCCCUGUACUACACUGCCAGCCCGGAUUAUAGUCUUCUGAAGUUCACUUGGAAUGUUCACCAAGACAGACCAUAUUCUAUGCCUGAGCACACUUUGAUGUGUUUAAAAGGAUAGACUGCCAGAUGUGGUGGCACAUGCCUGUAAUCCCAGCUACUCAGGAAGCUGAUGUAGGAAGAUCACAAAUCUCAAAAACUGGGAUGUGGAUCAAUGGGUUUAAUCCCUAAUACUGAAAGAAAAUGUACAACAUGUGCUGUCAGACCACAGUGAUAUUAAAACUAGAAAUUAAUAACAAAAAUAUAGGUAGAAAAUUCUGAAAUUUUGGAGUAUAAAGAGCAUGCUUUUUUCCUCCCACCCCAGUACAGGGGGUUGAGCCCCAGGUGUUCCCCAGCCUUUUUUAUUUAUUUUUUUAAUCUUGAGACAACACUUAGUUGCCCAGGCAGGUCUUGAACUUGGGGUCCUCUUACCUCAGCCUCUCAUGUCACAGGGAUUAUAGGAUUACAUGCUCUGCUAUACAGCAUACUUCUAAAUAAUGUGUGAGUCAAAGAAGAACUCUGAAGAAAUUUUUAAAUAUUUUGAAUUAAAUGAAGAUAAUAUCACCUAGCAAAUUCUGUGGACUAGAGUGAAAACAUGAUGAGAAAUUCAGGUCAGUGAAUGCAUUUAUUGAAAAGAAGAUCUUAAAGUCCUAGCCAUGGUGGUGCAUACCUGUAAUCCCAGCAUCUUGGGAGGCUGAGGCAAGAGGAUUGUGAGUUCAAAGCCAGCCUCAGCAAUUUAGCAAGGCCUAAAGCAACUCAUGAGACCCUGACUCUAAAUAAAAUAUUAAAAAGGGCUGGGAAUGUGGCUCAGUAAUUGAGUACCCCUGGGUUCAAUCCCUGGUAUAAAAAAAAAAAAAAAGUCAAUAUUCUAAGCUUCUACCUCAGGAAACUAGAGAAAAGAAGAGAAAAUUAAAUCCAGAGUGAACAGAAGAAAAGAAAUAAUAAAUGUGAAAAUGAAAACAGGAAAUCUGGGCUGGGGAUUUUGGCUCAGUGUAGAGCGCUCGCCUAGCACAGGGGGGACGCAGGUUCGAUCCUGAGCACCACAUAAAAAUAAAGGCAUUGUGUUGUGCCCAUCUCCACCUAAAAAAUAUUAAAAACAAACAAACAAAACAUGAAAUCAGUAGAGAAAAAUCAAUAAAACCAGGAGUUGGUUCUUUGAAGCGAUCAAUAAAGUUGAUAAGCAUCUAUCUAGAUCAAGAAGGACAGAGAGAAUACAAAUCACUGAUAUCAGAAAUGAAUAGUUCUUGUGACAUGGAGAGGUCAAAAGGAUAUUAUAAACAGCACUUUGCUCACAAAUUGGAUAACUUAGAUGAAUUGAACUAAUUCCUUGGAAAAUCAAUCUCUCCAAACUCACUCAACAAUAAGUAGAUAAACUGAAUAGGUCUAUGUGUAUUAAAGAAAUUGAGUUAACAAUUAACCUUCCAAAACAGUUCCCUGGCUCAAAUGGGUUCAUUUGUGAAUUCUGACCCAUUUAAGUAUGAAAUUAUGCUAUUUUUUCUCCUCUUUUCCAGAGGAUAUAAAUACUUCCUGGCUCAUUCUAUGAUGUCAGCAUUAUCAUACGAGCAAAAUCAAAGACACUACAAGAAAAUAAAACAGUGGACAAAUAUGAAUAUGGAUGUAAAAGUUAUCAACAAAAUAUUAACAAAUCAGAUUCAGUAAUGUAUAAAAAGAACUAUACCAUGACUAAGUGAAGUUUAUCUUAGGUAUGCACAACUAGUUCAACAUUGAAACAUCAAUGUAGUUCACACUUAAGAAGAAAGAUCACAUGGUCAUAUCAAUAGAUACAGAAAAAGCAUUUGACAAAAUUCAACAUUCAUGAUAAAAACUCAGAAGGUUUGGGUAUAGAGGGGAGAUUCCUCAACUUGGUUUAAAAAAAAUACCUACAAAAAUUUUUAAUGGGAAAAAACUUGAAGCUUUUCCUCUAAGAUCAGGAACAAGGCCAGAACGACUCCUUUUACCACUGCUUUUCAACACCGUACAGGACGCUGUAGCUAAUGGAAUAAAGCAAGAAAAGGAAAUAAAGGCUAUUACAUAUUGGGAAUGAAGAAAUAUAACUGUUUACAGAUGACACCAUUGUCUAGGUGAUAGGCCAUCUAUGGAUAGGAAGACUCAAUAUUGUCAAGAUGUUAGUCAUUACAGUGGCCCACACCUGGAAUCCCAGCUACUCAGGAGACUGAGGCAGAAGGAUCGCAAGUUGGAAGCCAACAAUCUGGCCAGCUAGUAAGAAGCUUCUCAAAAAGGCUCUGGAUGUAGUUAAGUGAUAGAGCGCUUGCCUAGCAUGCCCAAGACUGGGUUUAAUCCCCAGUAACUGCGCAAAAAAAAAAAGAUGAAAAAAGUCACUUUUCCCAACUUGAUCUAUAAAUUCAACAUAAUUCCAAUUAAAAUCUCAGUAGGUUAUUUUGUGGAUGUCAAAAAACUUACUCUGGGGGGCUGGGGUUGUGGCUCAGCGGUAGGGCACUCGCCUAGCAUGUGCAAGGCGCUGGGUUCAAUCCUCAGCACCACAUAAAAAUGAAUAAAUAAAGGUAUUGUGUCCAACUACAACUAAAAAAAAAUAUUUUAAAAAAAUGACUCUGAGGUUUAUAUGGCAAGGUAAGAGACCUAGAAUAACUCACUCAGUAUUGAAGGAACGGCACAAAAUCAAAAUCGGACUCAUACCAUCUGAUUGCAAGGUUCACUGUACAGCUACAGUUAUCAGGGCAGUGUGGUACUGCUGAAGAAGUAGACACAGACUAUUAAAGCAAAAUAGAGAGCCUGUAGUUAUCAGAUGAUCGCAUGCGAAGAAAACGAAUGUAGAUGCCCUCUACCAGAGGCGCACCAUGAUCCCAGCACUGAGGAGGCUGAAGCAGGAGGAUUGCAAGUUCACUUGGAUCCUGUCUCAAAAAUAAAGGUCUGGGGUGUAUUUAGUGGUAGAGCAUCCUUGAGUUAAAUCCCAGUACCACACACAAAAGACCCAUUAAGUCCCAAGUUUUAGGGCUGGGGCUAGGACUCAGUGAUAGAGCACUCACCUAGCAUGCACAAGGUACUGGGUUUGAUCCUUAGCACCACAUAAAAAAUAAAGUGAUCAUUAAAAAAAAAAGUCCCAAGGUUUUAGUUCUGUGAUGGUGUCAAUGAAAUUAAAACAGGUUCAUUGAGAUAGGUUGGAAAUCAUAAUCUAGACUUUACACAUAGUUAUAUUAAUCUUAAUGUUAUAUAUUACAUAAUUUUAUAAUUCCAUCUAAGUGUUUAUUGGUAUUCCACAUCUGGAAUACUGGGACAAAAUGGGUUCAGCAAGUCGUAGUCUGCUCAUACUUAGUCUGCAGCUGUAACAAAAUGCUAUAAAAUGAGUGCUUAAACAGAAAUUCAUUUUCUCACAGUUCUGGAGGUUGGAAGUCUGUCAGUUUGUCCGUUUUUGGUGAGGAUUCUCUUGCUAUCUCACAGAUGAUUAUCUUCUCACUGUGUCCUCAUCUGGUAGAGAAAAGAAAUCUUCUGGUCUCUGUUAAAAGGGCACUAAUCCACUAAUGGGGCCCCACUCCCAGUUAUCUUUCAAAGGCCUCAUCUCCAAAUGCCAUUGAAAGUUAAGACUUUAAAUAAGCUGAAGGUCACAGUUCAGUCCAUAGCAGACUUCAUAGCCCUAAAUAUAAAACUUCUAGAUGAUAAGAGAAAAUGUAGAUUUGAGCUUGGGUUCUAUAGUAAGUUUGGGAAUGUGACAUCAAAAGCAUGAUCCAUAAAGUAAAUGGUUGAUAAGCUAGAUUUCAUUAAGAUUAAAAACUAAUGCAGUUGGGUAUGGUGAUGCACAUCUGUAAUCCCAGCAACUCAUGAGGCUGAGGCAGAAAGAUCACAAAUUCAAGGUCAGCCUGUGUAAGUUAGCAAGACACUAUCUCAAAAAAGUCUGAGGAGGGGCUGGGGUUGUGGCUCAGUGGUAGAGCACUCACCUAGCAUGUAUGAGGCCCUGGGUUCGAUCCUCAGCACCACAUAAAGAUAAAUAAAUAAAUGUAUUGUGUCCAUCUACAACUAAAAGAUAUUAAGAAAAAAAAAAAAGGCUGAGGAUGAAGGUCAGUUGUAGAGCAUUCCUGGGUUCAAUCACCACUACCAAAACCAAAAACUUUCACAAAAGACAGUAAGAAUUUUCAGACUCAAGAGAUGUGUCCAUCUACAACUAAAAAAAAAAGACGAAAGGCCUGAACAGACACCUGGCCAAAGACACACAGAUGGCAGGCCUGUGUAAAGAUGCUGCUUGUUGUGUCACUAGAAUGCAAGUUAGAGCCACAGUGAGAUGCCACUGCAUGCUUUUUUAGAAUGGCACAUCCAGGAAGUUGACAGCACCCAGUAUCAGCGAGGAUGGGGAACAGCGGAAUGUGCCUUCAUCGCUGUUGAAAUGCACGGUGUUGUGGCUGCCACGGAAGAUGCUGGCCAGUAUCUUACAGAAGUGCACACACAAGAUCACAUUCACAGUCUUGGUGUUUAUCCAAAGUGAACUGAAAAUUCAUGUUCACACAAACCCUGUACACAAAUUUUAUGAGCACUUUAUUCAUAAUUGCUAAAAGUUGGAAGCAACCAAGAUAUUCUUUAAUAGAUGAGUGGAAUGGGAUGAUAUGUGGGGCUAAAAAGAAGUGAGCUUACCAAGCUAUGAGGAGCUGUGAAGGAGUCUUAGUGUGCAUGACUAGGGGAAAGAGGCAGCUUGAAAGGUUGCGUGUGUAUUCCAGAAUGACGCUCCUGCAAAGUUGAAACUGUAGACGCAAGAAAAAUACAAAUGGGUACCAGGAAAUGGAAGAGGGGUGGGUGCACAGAGAGACUUGGGGACAGGGGGACUCUGGUAGUGCAGUGGUGGAUCCAGCAUGCAUUGUCAGCACCCAGGGACUGCAACACAAGAGCAGCCCCGUGGUGGCUGUGGACUCCAGGUGGUGUGUCCCUGUGGGUUCAUCCAUUCUGACACUUGUACCACCCUGAUGCAUGAUUUCCUGAGCACAUGUUAAGAUUCAGGGUGAACUUGUGCCUUCCUCCAGGCACCACGUAUUCUGGGGUUUUCUUUGGGAAAGCACACAUCAUUGGGAGGUGAGACACGGGUCAGGAAUUGAAAUUUUAUUCUCAUAGAUCUGGGGAUACCCCAAGGCCAUACAGGCUAGUCAGCAAGAAGGGCAAGGGGUGGGGACCUGGAGCAUCUACCAUUAGGGUCCAGGGUAUGGGCAGAAGCAUGGACCGGAGAGAAGUUCCAUGCUGAUGGCUUAGUCCUCUUGUGCAUUUAGUCAGGCAGCUGGUAGGGUUGGGGCUUGAAGCAGUGAUCUUGUGACCCCACGAAUCAGAGGGAGUAGUUGGAGAGCUUGGGUUGGACAGGGCUACGGUGGAUCCAUGUACUCCAGAGAGCCUUGUGUCAAAAGUUUGGUGCCCUGGGUAGCACAGUUGGGAGGUGGGGGCUUGUGGGACCCUACCAGUACUCUCUGCUUCCUUGCUCCUGGUGUAAGCAGUUGGCUCUGCCACACACUUCUGCCAUUUCCGUCUGGUGCCCUCACUAGAGGGCCAAAGCAAGAGGUCUGCCUGAUCUUGGACUAGAACCUCCAGAACCACGAGCUAAAUAAAAAUGCUAUCUUUAUAAGUUAAUUGCCUCAGGUAUUUUGUUAUAAUAACACAAAGCUCACCAAUACAGGCUAUUAGCUAAAAACGUGUUAUGCCGGCAUCAAGGAACUCAUGUGAGUAAAAGAAUGGAGCUGGGUAUGGUGGCACAUGCUUGUAAACCCAGUGACUAAGGAGGCUGAGGCAGCGGAAUUGCAAGUUUGAGUCCAGCCUGGGCAACUUAGACCCUGUCUCAAAAAAGGCAUAGGGGUAUAGUUUAGUGACGGUGUCCCUGGGUUCAAUCUCCAGCACAAGAUCAAAAUCAGAAUUAAUACUGAAGCACUCUGGGCAUGGUGGUACAGGCCUGUAAUCCCAGCAGCUCACGAGGCUGAGGCAGAAGGAUCACAAGUUCAAAGCCAGCCUCAGCAAUGGUGAGGCACUAAGCAACUCAAUGAGACUCUGUCUCUAAAAUACAAAAUAGGGCUGGGGAUGUGGCUCAGUGGCUGAGUGCCCCUAAAUUCAAUCUCUGGUCCCCCCACCACCCCGCCAAAAAAAAAAAAAAAAAAAAGCUGAAGCAGCACAGAAAUGUCGCCCUUUCUGCGCCAUCUAAGCUGUCUGGAUUUGCAAAUGUUCUAUGAUAUUAAAUUAUUUUCAUCUUAUAUUUUUUUCUUUGCAAUGCUGGGGGUUCAACCCAGGGCCUCAUGCAUGCUAUGCUAGGCAAGUGCUCCACUGCCAGCCAUAUCAUUAGCCCUCAUCUAUUUUUAUCUGCAUGUUAUUUAUUACCCAAUAUAUUAGGAUAAUGAGCCUAUGAGCAAAUAAAAUCUCAAUUCUCCACCUUGUGUCUCUUUUUUGAUGGGUUUUAAGUAGCAUUCUAUUAACAGUUACAUGCAAGCAAGUUGUUACUAGGUUACCUAGUAUCAUAUGCUUUGGGGGCCUGACACCUAGCAUUCAGACUAAUGCCAGUUUGCCAGGUUUUUCCUCUCACAGUGAGCUAUCAGUCACGAUUCUGGGUUAUCUAAAAUUUAUGGGUAAUGCUUUCCUCCAGCAUCUUGUUAAGGAUUUUAUGUAGUGAGCACAUCCCUCCACCAUCUGGAUGCUACUGGCAUUUCCCUUGGCCAUGCUAAAUUUUUUUUUAGAAGAUUUUUUUUUUUUUUGAGAGAGAAUUUUUUUUUUAAUAUUUAUUUUUUAGUAUUUGGCGGACACAACUUCUUUGUUUGUAUGUGGUGCUGAGGAUCGAACCCGGGCCGCACGCAUGCCAGGCGAGCGCGCUACCGCUUGAGCCACAUCUGCAGCCCUGGCCAUGCUAAUUUUGCAAGCAGUUUUGUGUGGUUAGAGCUUCCUGGGCCCACUGAGUGAACCCUAGCUGUGGUAUCUGUCCCAGGGAUAGACGUCACAGACCCCUUUGUGCAAAGAAGACCAUCUUUUAGGACUGUUUUGGCCUGUUGGUGCCCUUGUCCUCAACACACUGCAGCUCAGUGGUGGCUCUGUCCCCUGGGACCCGGCGUGCAUUUCUGGGUGGUAUCACUUGCUGGAGUCCAUGCUGCAGGGUUGUCAGGGCUAGCAGUUUCUCAGAUGGGAUGGCCCUGGACAGGCACUGGUGCCUGAGUCUCUUGGGUGGGUUGUGAGUGAGGUCUUAGAAGGGAAAAGAUGGUUUUCAUUGGUUUCCAUCUUCCAAGGAGCAUGAUGAGGACUGGUACGGUUUGAGGAGUAAUUGCCUCACCUUCAGAGAAGAGGGCAUGUAGUUAUUCUAAUUAAUAUUCAUAAUGGGGAACUUUAGAGAUGAGCUUUAAUUUUUAAACAAAUUUUUUAGCUGUUGAUGGACCUUUAUUUUAUUCAUAUUUAUGUCCCGUGCUGAAAACUGAACCCAGUGCUUCACACAUGUGAGGCAAGUGCUCUACCGCUGAGCCACAACCUCAGCCCAUCAGCUCUAAUUUUUAAAGCCUUUACAUAAAUAGGAGCAUAAAUAUUAUCUAUUUUGAAAUAACCUGAAGACCCUUGAAUCAUUUAAGAAUGACAAAAAACAAACCUGCAUUGCUAGCAAGAUACAGUGAGAAGUUGUGUUAGCAUUAUGUCUCUGUGACAAAAUCAACUUAAACGGAGGAAAGAUUUAUUGACUCACCAUUAUCUGACCCUGCUGCCUUGGCCUGUGGCAGCACAGCACAUUAAGGCGGAAGUGUGUGGCAGAGAAGUCUUGAGCAGUUUUGGCAGCUGGAACAUAAAGAAGAGGAAGGGCCAGAUCCCUAAAGCCCUUGCCGCCUCCCACCAGGUCCCUCUGUGUAAGGGUUCAACCCCCUGCCAAUAGCACCACUAUCUGGGGGUUAACUUCAACAUGGGCCUUUGGUGGGCAUUCCAGAUCCUAGCUAUAACAUAUAUUAAAAAUCAUUUGGGGGCUGGGGAUAUAACUCAGUUGGUAGAGUGCUUCGCUUGCAUGCACAGUGCCCUGGGUCCAAUCCCCAGCACCACCAAAAAAAAAAAAAAAUUAUAUAUAUAUAUAUAUAUAUAUAUAUAUAUAUAUAUAUAUAUAUAUUAUACACACACACACACACGUGUGCGAACACACAUAAAUAAAUAAAUGUCAUUUGGAAGCCUUUUGCAGUAAUGGAUACCCCUAAUCCCUGCGGUUCAGGAGUCAGGGGCAGGAGGACUGGAUUUGAGGCCUGCCUGGGCAUUUAGCAAGAGCCUGUCCAAAAUAAAAUGGGCUGAAAAUGUAGUCAGUGGUAAAGCACCCCUGGGAUCAAUCCUCAGUACUGAAAAAAAAAUUUUUUUUAAUAAUAUCAACCUUCAAGUUGCCCUCAAAAAGAUGACAUAGACAAAGUUUAUGUCUACAGAAUUUUGCAAUAUUGUUUGGAUUCCUCUAUAAUAGUACAUUUUGGGUUGGGGGGCGGUAACCGGGAUUUAACUCAGGGGCACUUGACCACUGAGCCACAUCCACAGCCCUAUUUUGUAUCUUAUUUAGGGUCUUACUGAGCUGUUAAGCACCUCAUCGUUGCUGAGGCUGGCUUUGAUUCUCAGCCUCCUGAGCCGCUGGAUUACAGGCAUGCACUACUGUGCCUGGCUUAAGAGUACAUUUUUUUUUAAACGAUUUUAUCCCAUUUUAGUAAUGGCCCAUGUUCACAGUUCAUGUUAGUGCACUGAACCCCUAUUUAGAUAGGAGUUGCUUUAUUAUUAAACCCAGUUUAAGAAAUAUACACAAUUUUGUUGGGUGCAGGUAUGCACACCUGUAAUCCCAGCUGCUCCAGAGGCUGAGGCAAGAGAAUCACAAGUUCAAAGCCAGCCUCAGCAAUUUAGUGAGGCCUAAGCAACUUAUUGAGACCCUAUUUCAAAUAAAAAAUAAAUUAAAUGGGCCAUAGAUGUGGCUCAGUGGUUAAUGGACUUAGGGUUCAAUCCCUGGUACCUAAAAAAAAAAAAAAAAAAUCCAGUCUGAUUCUUAUAGAUUUAAAUGUACUAUAUCUGUUUUUCAUAUAUAUGUACCUAGUAACAAUGCCAUUAGCUUGAAUUUUUAGGAAAAAAGCAACCAUUUUUAAAUAUACUUAGAUUUCCAAGAGAUUUUCUUUAUUUUAAUAUGGUAUUUUAAGUAAUGAGAUUUCCAAACAGAGAAGUAUAAAUUUUCUCAUGCUGUAUGUAUUCUAUUAUUUUAUUAAAAAAAAACAAAAAACUUCAAGUCUAAGGAGUGUGGUGGCGCACACUUGUAAUCUCAGUAAUUACUCUCAGGAGACUGAAACUGAAGGAUCACUAAUUCAAGGUCAUCCUGGACAGCUUAGCAAGACGGUAUCUCAAAAAUGAAAAAUGGCUGGGAAUGUAGCUUGGUGGUAGAGCAAUCCUGGUUUCAAUCUUCAGUGCACGUGCACACACACACACACACACAAAUCUUACAUAAAAAUUUUAAAAAGGGGUGAGACAGAACACUUGCCUAUCAUGUGUGAGACCCUGGAUUCCAUCCCCAGAACAGAAGGAAGGAAGGAAAAAAAGAAAGAAGGUAAAGAAAGAAGCUAGCUAGCUAUUAGCUAUUUUAAGAAGAGAGAAGUUUGGCUUAAAGUGGAUAAACGUGUAGGUUCCAGCUCCAGCUAGCCAUAAUUGGUCCUCUGUGGGAGAAAGUGGGCCCUCAGCAUAGUCCAGUCAGGGGGAGGAACCCAAGACCUUGAUCUGCCCCCUGGUGCCCAGAAGGAGAUGGAGAGACUCCUGCUCAUUGAAGUGAGAAGAGUAGAUACCUUCUCAGGUACACACAUAGAUAACAUGCAUGUGUGCAAAAACCCCUAUCUAGAAAUUUUCUUUCCCGUUCUCUAUUUGUCUUUACUUGCAAUCUGCAACACGGUAGAUUUUUAAGCCUUGGGAGGGUGUUAUGGUAGAGCACCUGCCUAGCAUAUGAGGCCCUGCCUUUUACCCCAGUGUUGCAGACAACAAUGAUAACAAAAAGUUAUGUCUUUAUAUCCAACAGCAAGAGUGUUCCCACCUCACCGUCUGCCUCAGUGAUGACCCUUGGCAUUUACUUUUAGAAUCACUUUGUGAAAUGAGAAAAUUGUGAUUUUGAUUGAGGUUGCAUUGAAUCAAUUUCAAGAGAAGUGGAUAUCUUUGUAAUCUAAAUAUUCUAGUCCAUAAGUAUACCAUAUCUAUUCACUUGCCCAGGUCUUUAUUUCACUCAAUAGCAAUGUAUUAUGAUUUUCUGGUCAUAACUGAUCAAGAACAAAAGAAGGGACAGAUGACCAAAAUAAAAAGGGGCCACAAUACAGAUCCACAGGCUGUAAUAAAAAGGCAUCUGAACACGUUUAAUGCCAAGAAGUUUUAAUAUGGAGAUAAAACACAGUUUGCCCAGAAAACACAAUUUGUCAAGGUUGACACAAGAAAGCAUUAAUACAUGAUCUUUUAAGUAUUAAAGAAAUUGGUUCAGUAAAUAAAAUUCCUAUCUCAGAGAAAAUGCCAAGCCCAGAUGGUUUCGCCAGCUUAUACCAAACAUUUAAGGAAGAAAUAGCACUUAUCUUCCAUAUGUAUUUUCAGUUAAAGUUGGUUUAUGCUGUGUGUAUUAUUUUAGAAACUGAUUUUUCAGUUUAUGUCAUAGACUUUUCCUUUAACUAUAUAUUCUAUUAUAUAAUUAUAAUGUCAGAAAGGUAUUCCAUUAUAUGACUCGUCUAUCGCUGACUUAAACAAUACUCUUUUUUUUUCUUUCUUUUUUUUUGCAGUGCUGGAGAUAAACCUAGGGCCUCCUGCAUGCCAGGCAAGUGCUCUAUCACUGUGCCACACCCAGCCCUGUCCUCUGUUUUUUGAAUAUUUGAAUUCUUUCUUGUUUCCCCAUAAUUAGGGAGAACAUUUCAGGGAUGGUCAUAAUAAUCAUUUCUUUGUGCAAAUGACAGUUGACUUAGCAUAGACUCUUGAAGAACAAUUUUGGGAACAAAGGUGUGUAAUAUUAAUUCUUUUGCUAUGUGUUACCAACUUUCCCUUUAAAAAGCUCUAUUUAUUUAUAGUCCAUCCCACAGUACAGGACAGGAAUUAUUCCUUUACUUCUCUGUGUGGGAAUCAACGCAGCACAGCAACCUCCACCCGCCUUCUUGCUCUAGCCGUGGCAGGCUCCUUGCAUUCCUGGACUUGGUGGUUCUCCAUCUCACCCAGGCCUGCCUUCUGCAACUGCUGACCCAUUGGCUCUUGCUCCCUCUGAAGCCACGCAUGCUCCUGGGAUCUUCUGACCACAUAGGCUGCAGGAGAUGGUUCUGUAUUUUCAAUAGUUUCCAUUAUCCAUGUUAUUUCAUUUUUUUAAUAUUAUUUUUUUUAGGUGUAGUUGAACAAAAUGCCUUUAUUUUAUUUAUUUUUAUGUGGUGCUGAGGACCGCACCCAGGGCCUCGCAAGUGCUAGGCGAGCGUUCUACCGCUGAGCCACAAUCCCAGCCUCUGUGUUAUUUCAUUUAAAAAAAAAAAAAAAAGUAUUUGAUUUUCUUCCUCAAUAUACAGUGAGCUUCCUGAGACCAGAGGCUCUCUGGCUUCCUAUUGUGUUCCUUACCUGGAGCAGCCUGUUGGCAGAUUCAUUUGCUAGUUUGAUAGGUGAAAAAAUCAUAAUUUGCUUGAGUUUCCCUCCUGUGGUACCUGGUGGACUGAGCUUUCAUCCUGUGACUGGCCAUUUUGCCUCUUGCGCUCCUGAGUCAUGCAUAGCACAUCUGCUACUGGAACAUCUGCCUUCCAAGUAAGGAUCUGUGUAAGAGUGUUGCUGAACAGUGGUGUCCUCUAGUAAUUCCUUUAUGUUUUGUGUAACAGAUUCUGAUACUGGGACUGAGAAGGAACUGUCCAUUUUAAACCAGGAGUGUUCUGAAGAUGUGAAGAGCCCAGCAUUUGUAUCAAGAAGAUUCUCAAGGGCCAAUUCACAGACACCUGUGUUCCAGGAUCCUUGGGACCUGGAGGGGAAGGGAAAAGGGAGCCUGGGAAACACUGCUGGCCAGAGUCUGAAGAAACCCCAUCUGCACAAUAGAGUUUUUAGAGAGGAAUCUGUCCUAUGUAGGGAGCAGCCUCCAAGAGAGAGUGUCCAGGAGUGUUCUUUAAAUGUUGAUAGACAUUUAAAUCCAAACCAAAAUGUUGUUAGACUUCAAAGGAAUAAAACAGGAGAGAGAGUCUUUAAAUGUGAUAUAUGCAGCAAAACCUUCAAAUAUAAUUCAGACCUCCGUCGACAUCAUAGGCGCCACACAGGGGAAAAGCCCUAUGAGUGCAGUUGGUGUGGGCGAGCCUUCACACACAGCGCGAGCCUCAUCCUGCACCGCCGAGUCCACACUGGCAGCAAACCGUUUAAAUGUGAAGAAUGUGGGAAGACUUUUGGGCUCAAUUCCUACCUCAUUCUGCAUCGGAGAAUUCACACUGGAGAAAGACCCUUUGGGUGCAGUGAAUGUGGGAAAGCCUUCAGUCGAAGCUCCAGCCUCAUUCAGCAUCGCGUCAUUCACACAGGAGAGAAGCCUCACAAGUGUGAGGAGUGCGGCAAAGCCUUCAGCCAGAGCCCCCAGUUAACUCAGCACCAGAGGAUCCACACUGGGGAGAAGCCGCACAAGUGCAGUCAGUGUGGCAAGGCCUUCAGCCGGAGCUCCAGCCUCAUUCAGCACCAGAGGAUCCACACUGGGGAGAAGCCCCACAAGUGCAGUCAGUGUGGCAAGGCCUUCAGCCAGAGCUCCAGCCUUUUCCUCCAUCAUAGGGUCCACACUGGAGAAAAGCCCUACGUGUGCCAGGAGUGUGGCCGGGCCUUUGGUUUCAAUUCUCACCUUACUGAACAUACACGGAUUCACACUGGAGAGAAGCCUUAUGUGUGUGGUGAGUGUGGCAGGGCCUUCAGCCGGAGUUCCACUCUGGUGCAGCAUCGCAGAGUGCACACAGGGGAGAAGCCAUAUCAGUGCUCUGAGUGUGGGAAAGCCUUCAGCCAGAGCUCCCAACUCACCCUGCACCAGCGUGUCCACACUGGCGAGAAGCCCUACGAGUGCCGGGCCUGUGGGAAGGCCUUUAGCCGGAGGUCAACCCUCACACAGCAUCAGCACAUUCACACGGGAGAUAAUCCUCGCCAGCGUAGAAAGGGUGGCCCCAGCCUGAUGCCCACUGGAGAGCGACGUGGCAGAGCCUUCAGCCAUGGUGCAGACCUCAUUCUGCACUGGACAAUCCACACUGGUGAGAAAUCCCUGGGGUGCAGUGAAUGUGGGAAGACUUUCAGCCCUACCCCACAACCCGUUGAGUACCAGAGAAGCCGCCACGCUGGGGAGAAACCAUAUAAAUGUCAAGAAUGUGGAAAGGCUGUCAGCGAGGGUUCAGACCUUACUCAACAUCAGGUAGCUCAUGUUGGAGAGAAGCCCCCUCUAAAUGAUGGCUCUGAAAGAUAUUUUAUUCAUAUCAAAAAGAUUUUCCAAGAAAGACAUUUUUAAGUUAUAAAAUUAGGAAACAGUUUAGCAAUUGUUCAUUUUACGUUGGAUAGGCUAGCAAAAUGAAAGUUAAAUAAGAGGGUUUACAUAUUACCAGCAAAUCAAAAUAAACAGGUUGGAUGACUAUUAAAGUCAUUAAAUUUGAAAGUAAACAUGAGAGAAUUCAAUCUGGAAAAUACUGUUGUAUAGAGGUUAUUGUUGUGCUCAGGGUGACCCCUGUCGCACUACCUUCAGACACUGAGAGGAGGGGGAGCACCAAUAGUGAGCCACUGGCUCCAGCCCCAAGGUGUCACUACCUUGUGUCUCCCUCCUGCCUGAGCUCAGCUUGUUAUUGGGAAUACCCAGUUCCAGUACCGCUGGGCAGGGUGAGCCUUCCCUUACCAGCCUGCAGGCAGGGUGUCCUUCCUCCCUUGGAGCCCAGUUUGGGCAUUUGUAGAGUGAAGAUUGAUGUGUUUUCAGUUCUGAGAUCUGCAAUUGAGCAGAGGCCUCGGGGCCAAUGAGGCCAAGCUGCCAUGAAGCCCCAUUCUCAAGAGCUGCAAAAAGGAAAGAAAAUCCUCACAAUGCUCGAAGAAAAUAGGAGAGGAAAUAACUGCAGUUAAGACACACCAAGAAACAACCAGGCUUGUUGUUAUUUUUGUUUUUCUUUGUUUGUUUGCGUGUUUUGAAGUGCUAGGGAUAGAGCCCAGGGCCUUGUGCAUAUAGGCAAGUGACCUACCACUGAGCUACACCCCAACCCCAAAGGCCAACCUUCUUGAGUACAGUUUACAUACAAUAAGAUUCACUCUUUAGCAUACAGCUCUGUGGGUUUCAGAGUCACAUGGUGUGCAGUCGCCACAAUCAAGCAUACAACCUGCCUCAGCACCCACAGCUCUCCAUGCCCAAACGGGAAGCCCUAACCCCUGCAUACCCUGCUUUGUUUUCUGUUGCCAUGGCUUCACCAUUCCCAGAAUCUCAUCCUGUGGAGCCAUUUCAAUCUGGUGUUUUUUACUGAAUGUAUUGGAGAGUCACCCAUGUUGUUGCAUGUAUCCGUAGUUCAUUCUUUUUACUGCCCAGCAGCAUUCCAUGUUAUGGAUAUAUGGAUGGAGCUGUUCAACCAUUCCUCCAUUAAGGGAUUCUUGAGUGUUCCCAUUUAUAGUAUAUAAGAAUAAAGUACCUAUAAACACGUAACUAUAAUCUGUUUUGUGAACCUAACCUUUCAGUUCUUUUAAAUGUCUCAUUUGCAUUGCUGGGUCACUAGUAAUCUUAACUUUUUAAGAAAGAGUUUCACUGAGAGUCUAAGGGCAUGAGGGCCCUUGAAACCUUGAUUUCCAUUCUGAGUCUGUAGGAAGAAUCUUUUCUAUCCUCUACUUAAUUCCCUCCAUGCCCAGUGGGACAUCACCCUUUGGGACCAGGAUACAGCUAUGUGGUAGAGGAUUUGCCUGUCAUAUAUGAAGCCCUGGGUUCCAUCCCCAGCACCAUCAGAUCACCUUUCAAAAUCCCUUCCUUAAUGCCUCUGCUCUUACUGUGUUGUUUUGUAUUUCAGUGCUGGGGAUGAACCCAGGGCCCUGCACUUGUUAGGAUGUGCUAUUGAGCCACAUACUCAGCCCCUUUUCUUAGGGAACUUGGGGUCAUGUUUGUGUUUGGUUUGACACUGUUUCUGUGGUUUGCUCCACUUAUUCCCCCUAACUUGUUUUAUGUCUCAUGCUAUAAAUUUCUUAAAGCCAGAACCUCUUCUGGAUGUAGUCCCAGUGGAAGGAUCUGCAAAUCAUGGAGGUGGCAGUGGCUUAUCUGAAGGACUAUGAUCUCUUUCUGACCUCCGGCACAGCAUCUGAUCUAAGGAGUAGCUUCCACUCUUGUAUUCUGCAUCACCAUAGCAACCAUCUUGUUUCACUUUUUCUACCUACUUCUACAUUAUGCUGGGAGCUCUUUGUAGCCAGAGUCUGUCAUAUGCCCUUUAUUAUUCUGUGAGGGUUUUUUGUUUGUUUGGUAUUGAGAUUGAACCCAGGGCCUCACCCGUGCUAGGCAAACACUCUACCACAGAGCUACAUUUCCAGCCCUUUUUUAUGUUUAAUACUAGGGAUUGAACUCAGGGACACUCAACCACUGAACCACAUCUCCAGCCCAAUUUUGUAUUUUUUUAUUUACAGACAGGGUUUCACUGAGUUGCUUAGUGCCUCACUAAGUUGCUGAAGCUGGCUUUGAACUCAUGAUCCUCCUCCCUCAGCCUCCCAAGCUGCUGGGAUUACAGGCAUGCACCACCACACCUGGCUCUUUUUUUUUUUUUUUUUGAGACAGGGUCUUGCUAAAUUACCCAGCCUAGCCUUGAACUUAUAUCCUCCUACCUCAGCCUGUGAUCCCUGAAUAGUGGGAUCACAGGCAUGUGCCACUCUUACACCUUUUCUCUCUAGCAAAUGAUGCAGAAUACGUGUCUAGGAUGUUUUGGGAAGGAAGAGAGAGGGAGGGAGGGAGAAAAGGAAACACUACACAGCACUCAGCCUUGUUCUGUUCAGGAAUAUGCUGGGUUAAAUAAUUUAUUGCUGGACAUAGAGUGCACAUCUAUAAUUUCAGCAGCUUGAGAGGCUGAGGCAAGAGGCCAGCCUGGAUAACUUAGGAAGACCUUGUCUCAAAAUAAAAAACAGAUAAAAAGGGCUGGGGAAGUAGUUCAGUGGUAGGUUCAAUCUCCAAUACUGUAAAAAACAAACAAACAAAAAUCUCCUUCCUCACCUACUGGAGAGCCCACAGUGAGGUCCCUCUCAAAAUGCCCAAACAUACCAUGUUUGUGGGGGAGGGAAGAUUUUGGCAGGGCUGGCCUAAUUUGGCCUUUAUUUACUAUAGACCCUGAAACUAAGAUGUUAGCAGGAUCCACAGCAGGUUGGCUGAGCAUCCAGACAGUGAGGGGACACCCCCAUGGUUAAAAGUUAGGACAAAAGAAACUCUGUGUAUAACCACAAGAAUGGGAAGUUAUACUCCCAUGUAUGUAUUGUAUGUCACAAUACAUUCUACAAUCAUGUAUAACCAAAAAAUAAAGAAACUCAAGAGUGCCACGCCUGGAAACUGGUGCUUUGGCAGCUGUGAGGUCUGCUUACAGCCUCUGCAGAGAUGAUGAAGUUGGGGUGAUUCUAGGGUGGCAGUGGAAGCUGCAGCCCCAAAGAGCUAUCCCUGCUGUAUCAAGGUGAAGCUAGAAAAAACUCCACCCACUGGCACCAGGAGGCACCUGACAGAAUUGACUCAAGAAGAUGGAGCUGGGAGGCCAAGGUGACCAGAGUUCAACGGGAACAUCAAACAAGCAUGUGGAGUGAUUAAAAACAUCUAGAAUCAGAUCUUUUAAAACAAUAGGGCUGGGGACAUAGCUCAGUUGGUAGAGUGCUUGUCUUGCAUGCACAACGCCCUGGGUUCAAUCCCCAGCACUACAGGAAAAAAAAAAAAUGCUCCCCUGACCACCACCACCAAAAAGAAGAAAAGCAGGGAAGAGAAGGCACACAGGAAGGAAAAAAGAGAAAUUAUAAAUAUAGCAAAAAUGAAGAAUUACUGAAUCUGGCUCAGUGCAGUGGCACAGCCCGUAAUCCCAGGAUCUCAGGAGGCUGAGGCAGGAGAUCACAAGUUCAAGGUCAGCCUCAGCAAUUUAGAGACCAUGUCUCAAAGUAAAAAGGGCUGGGGAUGUGGCUCAGUGGUUAAGUACCCCUCGGUUCAAUCUCUGGUAACUGUAAGGAGCGGCAGGAAAGCUCCGUAAAUUUAACAAGCCAAACAACCAUUUACCUGUCCAAGAUUUUAUUAGUGGGACCGUAGCAGCCGGUCACAGAAGAGAAGAAGUGGGGGAGAGAGAGAAUGAGCAUGGGGAGUUGGCUCUUACUUCUUUAUUGACCAAGGGUCCAUUUCUGGGCAGGACAGGGUAUUAGUCUCCUAGGGGUGGGAGGUCACAGUUUGCGCCAUUUCAGGGAUUGGAGGUGAUGGUUUGUGCCACUUAGGUGGUAGUUCACGCCAUUCAGUGCAUCAUGGACCUGAACUCCCGGAAGAGAUGCACUUCGGGCGCCAUCUUUACCAACAUUCCUCCCUUUUUUGUUUUGGUUUGGGGGCAUCAUACUAGUUCUGGCUUCUUCCUGCUAAGUAGGGGUGUUGUUUAGAGGGAGGGAGGUCAGUUGGUUGGAGAAGGAGGGCCAGGAGGCCCCACAUCCAUGUGCUGAAAGCAUGGAUUUCCUCCGGGGAGAAGUCCAUGAACGUGCCCUGCAACCACAAAUUGUUGGAUAUAAUGAGCCAUUCAUUGGGGUGGCCCAGGGGGAGAGAUAAGCCAACUAUCUUCCCCUAGGGCUUGUAAGAAUUGCAUGCAUCAGAGGGUAACAGGUGUCAUCUUCAUUAAGAGGAGGAUCAGAGGUACAGUGCAAGCCACAAAUCUGCAGCUACGAAAAGGAACAAAAGAGACAGCAUUAAUUUCUGGCAUGUCAUCCAUGUCAUCCAGGGCUGGUAGAUAAAAAGACCUAUGCUCAGGAGAAGGCAGGUUAGAACAUAUAUGGCUAAAAACCAAGGGCUUAUUUCUUUGGAAUGGUGGGGUAGAGAUGGCCCUUCGGUGGAGUUGUCAUUUGGUAUCUUCGUCUUUCAGCACUUGGUGGAGGCUUUUCAGUAUGAGUAGACAUAAGUGUUGUCCAGCUCAUUGGCAAGUAGCUGGUAAUCCCUGAGGAGGAACUGAUUGAAAGUUUGGUUAGAGAUUUUGUUAAUUUGUCCUUGAAGGAAUUUAAAAUGCAAAGAAGGAAGACACAGAAUAAAAAGACCCCAACUAGAGGUCCUAGCAUCGGGAGACUCCAGCAGAUAAGGGGUUUGUGAAGAGGUCCCAAUAGGAUUGUUGUACCAAUUGCAGCCUUCUUUUUUCUAGUUGUUCCUGUAGUUUUUUAAUCUUAUCUUUCACUAUCCCUGACUGAUUAACAUAAAACAACAUUCUUUCUGUAAGAAUGGGCAGAGGCCUCCUUUUUCCACUGUGAGUAGAUCUAAGCCUUGGUGGUUUUGUAGGACUACUGCUGCAAAGAAAUCUAAUUGAUUUUGGAGGGUAAGUAUGGGCUCAAUCACCUGUUGGAGGUCAUCUAUGAAUGAUUUGGACAAUUGAUUAUAGUAUGUGAGGGAGGUAGUCAAACCUGCUGUACCCAUUGGCAAGCCUGCUGUAAUUCCUAAAGUAGUGAGGAGAGGUAUGAAUUGGAUCGCCCUUUUGGGUCUUAUGUGUGUCAUGAGAGGGAUUGGUAUUUCUGUAUCUCCUGGAACUGUCUUUAUAGGGAAACAGGAGAACAAGAAUACAUGUGCAUGUUUCCAGUCAGGGGGCAGACAGCGGUAUACAGUUGUCCCACAUAAAAGUGAUGCCUUGAGACUGGUGGGCAGUGGGCCUUAUUACCCUUUGAUAGAGAUACGGGUCUGAGUGGGGUGCAUUUACCCCUAAAACUCCCGGAGGGAUUGCCGGACACUCAUCGGUCAAUUCCCUCAUUCUGGUGAGUUAGGGUUCAGGCGCUCAUGGGAUGGGGGAACUCACCGAUCCGCGAGUCAGUGGUGGAUGUCAGGCAGGUGAUCAGAGGAGUGGACUACGACAGGAACAGUUGGGCUCAGAGUUUGGGAGCCGGUUCUGCCUUGGGUGACAGGGAGAUCCCCCGUCCCAGGUUUGGGCAUCAAUGUAAGGAUCUUACAGUAACCCCUCCAAGAAAAAAAAAGAAAAAAAAAACUGGUGAAUCUGAAUAGUUAUUUGAGAAUUUUCUGCUUUAUUACAACUGUUCUAUAAAUUUGAAAUUAGUUCAAACUAAAAGGUUUAGGAAGAAAUUAGUAAAAGGAUACAAAGUUCCAGUUAGGAGGAAAACUGGAGAGGUCUGUUGUACAACCUGGUGACUACUGUUAACAAUGUAUUGUGUUCUUAAAAACUGCCAGAAUGGGGCUGGGGAUGUGGCUCAAGCGGUAGCGCGCUCGCCUGGCAUGCGUGCGGCCUGGGUUGAUCCUUAGCACCACAUACAAACAAAGAUGUUGUCACCCCCGAAAACUAAAAAAAAAUAAAUAUUAAAAAAAAAAAAAAACUGCCAGAAUGGAUGUUAGGGUGUUCUCACCUCACAGUGAGAUCAUGCACGUUGAUGGGCUAGAUUUCUCCAUUUCAGACCACUCAUAACAUACGUACUUUUAACAUAAUUGUGUACAUUACAUAAGCUAUAAUAAGUAUGUACACAAUAUGUACAAUUUACAUCAAUAUCAAGAACUUCUGUGCUGCAAACAGUACCAUCCAGAAAGUAAAAACAGCUGGGAAUGUAGCUCCGUGGCAGAGGCGGAGACAAGGAGUUUUACUCCCACUGCUGGGAGGGGUUAAAAAAGACAAAAGGAGGGUGAAAAUACUGGCUAAACCAUCCAUCUGCUAAGGAACCUUCGGACUGCCUAGAGCUAGUCUAGCCCCCCUCCCGGGCUCCCGAGACCGCGAGCACCGCCCCAGCCCUUCCCUGGCCCGUCUUUCUGAGCGCCUCACAUUCUUCCCAGAGCUGGAGCCCGAAGGCUCCAAACUGGCUGCGCGCUCUGCUUGCGCCGGGAGGUACACCCUCCGGGAGUGUCCGUCCCUGCCCCCAGUCCUGAGCCCCCGGAAGCAGCUGCUCCCUGCCCCCCACCUCCGGGGCGCCGCUCUAGGACAUCUGGAGGGCUUCAAGUCGGUGGUCACGGAAGCUGAGCCCGGAGGAGUCCUUAGUCACUCUGGCGUAGGGCCCUGGGUCCGGCCCUCUAGAGGCUGCUCUUAGCUUGGCAGAGCCCAGCCCUGGACACUCCUCCUGGAAUUGGGAAGGCUGCUUUUCCGAGAGUCAGCCUGCCAAGGAUCCCAGCUCAACCCUGAAGAAGGAAAGUGACUUCAGAGCAACCGACCCGGUGUAGGAGGUUGUCUUGACCUAGUUAUGCAGUCAGCAUAGGUCAGACACCACUUGUGUCUUUCUACAAUGUCAGAAUUUACUGAAUAACAAUAAACUCACACCUUCAUAGGUUUCAAUUCACUGAAUACUCGUGGGUCAGUCAUUUGGUAGUCAUGAGCCAGGUGAUCACAGGUUAUUUUAUUACAGUCUUAAUUACUAACAUUUAUAAGGUGCAAGUAACAUACCACACUUUAAACAAAUACAGAAAGACUAAAUUAAGGCAGCCUCGGAUUACAGGACACUUCACCGAGCAAAUGGGCAGGGAGCAGAUGAAAAUACAAAAGCAUCACUGCAGAUAGUCAGAUCUGUCAUGGGCCAGAGGUCAGAACUUACCCUAGGCACAGGUAUGGAAGGCAGGCAGUUUCAAAGUGUCAGCUUGAAGUCCUUGCCUACAGGAGAAACCAAAGGAGCUGAAGUUCCUGGGGAAGAAAGUAAGAGAAUCUUGCUGUGGCAAUUUUCCUGGGCAGGGCUCAUGAGGAAUGAUCAAGUAAUAGGGUCAGUGUGUUGCCAUUUCCAGUCUUGGGGGG